ACGUGGGCCCAGAUUGUCACACACAGAUCAGUGUGUUUACAUCCGAGAGCGAUUGGAAGGGGAAAAAAAAAAAACUUGUUGUAUCUCUCCACGAGUCGAUGACUAAUCUUUUCCCUGCGAUGUGUUUUAGCUAAGAAGCAAUAACUCUUCAUCAGGAGUCUGCCCAAGGGUGCUGAGCUGUCAUGGCAACAGCCCUCCACACAGACGGGCGUUCAUGAUCCUCCCAGGCACAGGAAGCACAAGGCCUCCCGAACAUCCCCACAAGUUCCCUCUUCUCCCAAGGAUGUCAGUCACUAUUAGGGAAAGUCCCAUCACAAACACAGACGUAUACGAGGGAUGGCUAGACGGCCUCUAGUGACCUGGCUGCCCCCUGACGCCUUCUCCGGCAUGAGGAUACCACAGAAGGGCAGAGAGAUAAAGGAAGGCAUUGUUUAUCCACCUGUUAACUUCCACCAUGGAUGGACUCUUGAACAACCCAAACUGACAAGAAUCUGACUCCAGACUAAAGGACCUGAGAAGAACCACUUAGGAGAUGGUAUUUCAGCUCAUGGUCUCAGUCAACAAUGGUGGGGAAGGCGUGGCAGAAGGAGCGCAUGAAUUCCUCACAUGGCGGCGGUGGACUGAGACUGGGAUUAGAGGCGGGAGAGAACUUUCAAAGGCCUGCCCUCAGCGACCUGCUUUUACCAGCGAGGCCCUACCUGGUAAUGGUCCCGCAACCACGAUAUUCAGCAAGAAUUAACUCUGCUUUUAAAAUAUAUUUUCGCGCGAUGCAA
Long non-coding RNA from Rattus norvegicus (Norway rat), 773 nucleotides. RefSeq lists it as uncharacterized. The record is from RefSeq and is a predicted model, not a curated record. Lineage: Eukaryota; Metazoa; Chordata; Mammalia; Rodentia; Muridae.